AUGGCCAGACAGCGGCGGGCCGGCGUGCUGAGCGCCAGCGAGCACGACCGGGAGUACUGCGAGCUGUGCGGGAAGAUGGAGAACCUGCUGCGCUGUGGCCGCUGCCGAGGCUCCUUCUACUGCUGCAAGGAGCAACAGCGCCAGGACUGGAAGAAGCACAAGCUGGUGUGCCAGGGCGGCAAGGCCCCGGCGCGCAACCGGGCCAGCGCAGCCCCGCGUCGCGCCCCUGCCCGGUGGGGCCCCGGAGCAGGCGCGCCGCCCGGCGGCCCGGCGAGGGACAACAGCACGGGGCCUCGCGCGUACCGGGCACGGAGGACGCGGCGCAGGCCGGGAGCGGCCCGGCCCGCAGAGCCCAGCUUGGAGGAUCCUCCGCCUAGCAGGUCUCUGGGCCCCGAGCGCGCCAGCCUGUGCCCAGCGGGCGGCGGCCCGGGGAAGGCGCUGAGUCCCAGCAGAGGGCUGCGGCCCAACGGGCAGACCAAGCCGCUGCCCGCGCUGAAGCUGGCGCUGGAGUACAUCGUGCCGUGCAUGGACAAGCACGGCAUCUGCGUGGUGGACGACUUCCUGGGCAGAAGACCGGGCAGCAAAUCGGCGACGAGGUGUGCGCCCUGCACGACACCGGCAAGUUCACGGACGGGCAGCUGGUCAGCCAGAAGAGUGACUCUUCCAAGGACAUCGGGGGGGACGACAAGAUCACCUGGAUCGAGGGCAAAGAGCCAGGCUGCGAGACCAUCGGCCUGCUCAUGAGCAGCAUGGACGACCUGAUCCGCCACUGCAGCGGGAAGCUGGGCAACUACAGGAUUACAGGAUAAACGGCCGAAUGAAAGCCAUGGUCGCCUGUUACCCAGGCAACGGGACAGGCUACGUCCGUCACGUCGAUAACCCAAAUGGAGACGGAAGAUGCGUGACAUGUAUAUAUUAUCUAAAUAAAGACUGGGACGCCAAGGUGAGCGGAGGUAUUCUUCGAAUUUUCCCAGAAGGCAAAGCCCAGUUUGCUGACAUUGAACCCAAGUUUGAUAGAUUGCUGUUUUUCUGGUCUGACCGGCGUAACCCUCAUGAAGUACAGCCUGCAUAUGCCACAAGGUACGCAAUAACCGUUUGGUAUUUCGAUGCAGAUGAGCGAGCAAGAGCUAAAGUAAAAUAUCUCACAGGUGAGAAAGGUGUGAGGGUUGAACUCAAGCCCAAUUCAGUCAGCAAAGAUGUCUAGCAGGGCCUUGGGUCCAGCAGUACCCUUGUCACCUGUAGUUGCCUUCUGUGGACCCGUGGACAUGUGGCCAGGAUGAACAGAGACACCUGCCUGGCAUUUCAAGUAUCUGGGAGCCAGGCGACUUCGCCAGGUGUCAUCCAACAGAGGGCUCCAUCUGCCGGGACUGUACUGUGGGGUCAGCUCCAGAUCUGUGACUGCUCUUGGCCGCUGACUGAAGAGGAGACGCUGUCAGAGGAGAGUAGCUUUUCCAUCUGGACACAAAACAAGGGCUCUUUGUAGGAUUUUCUUCAGUCUUCUAUUUUGCCAGACCUGUCACCUAACUGAGUUCAUUUUAUCUCUUUUUUAUAUCAAGUUUGAAUUCGGGGAAUUUUUGUAUUAGGUACAAUUUAUCAAAACUGAAUUAGAAAAAAAUUUACAGUAUUAUUCUCAAAAUAACAUCAAUCUAUUUUUGUAAACCUCUUCAUGCUAUUAAAUUUUGCCCUAAAGGCCUCCUA
Rattus rattus (black rat) is the source of this 1698-nucleotide RNA transcript. It is a transcript of the gene named egl nine homolog 1-like, with no coding region annotated. NCBI's taxonomy places the organism in Eukaryota, Metazoa, Chordata, Mammalia, Rodentia, Muridae. The transcript has a single exon. The record is from RefSeq and is a predicted model, not a curated record.